UAAUCCAUCUUCAGUUGGCAUGUAAUGUCUACCCUAAACUAAUGCGGUAGCACACCACAUCUUCCUUAAGCAUGGACUAUCUUAUAUUUACCUAGUGAUCAUGAAGAACAGUUGUACGAACAUCAUACUUAAAAUCACAGAAAUUAAAUAUGAUUCAAAAGAAGAUAUCCAUUAGAAACAAUAAGUUCAUACAACCCCAAGAAUAUAAAAUAAAAUAUAAAACCCGUGUCCCUUUUGUUAGGGCUGCAUCCAGCCCUAGUGAGAAGAUCAGCCUUCCAUGGAAAAUUGAACAGCUGCACUGCAGGGGGACUUCAUGAUGAUUGGCUCCUUCCUCCCGUCGGCUCUCUCCUCCCUUCUCUGUCUCCCGUGAGAACUCCUCCGAAGGAUGAAUGGGAUCCACCGGAUCCCUUUGAAUGGUUCCAAAAGAGAAUACCCCCUCUGUUCACGUCUGGGCUUUUUAUAGGCUGCAAACUCCCUCUUUCCUCCUCUAUUUCGAGUGCAGAUAAGGAUGAAGACAUGGUGGGAUAAGGAUGCGGUUGUUAACUUGAUGUGGCUGAGAAGGAAUCCAGAUUGGGAUGAAGGUGGAUCACGGACGACAAGGAUGAUUUGUUAAUCCAAAUGCUGGGAAGUUGGGGAGCAGAGGAUGCUGGGAAAAUCCGGAACGUUCGGAAAGCUCAUCCCGCCUGACUAUGGGAUAAGGAUGAAGCUUGGACGUGGAGUGCGGAAGAAACAGGGGAAGAUAUGUAAUCCGAACGGGAGAAAAUCUGGGAGUAUUCCGGAACGGAAGAAGCUGGGAAUUCGGUUGGAUUGGAUGAUGGGAUGAAUCCGUAGAUGAUUCGGCUGAUGGUUGGGAGGAAACCGUGGACUAAGUUGGGAUGCUCACGGAGGAGAAUAUCAUGGGAGAGACGUUGGGAGGAGCUGGAUCUUACGAACGGAUUGAACGUGAAACAGGGGAGAC
This 958-nucleotide long non-coding RNA is filed under the name Phoenix dactylifera (date palm). Its description in RNAcentral is "long non-coding RNA (PDAC_LNC003105)". The record is from RNAcentral. Lineage: Eukaryota; Viridiplantae; Streptophyta; Magnoliopsida; Arecales; Arecaceae.